This 69-nucleotide transfer RNA is filed under the name Cyrtodactylus peguensis. RNAcentral describes it as "tRNA Ile". Lineage: Eukaryota; Metazoa; Chordata; Lepidosauria; Squamata; Gekkonidae. The record is from RNAcentral.
GGAAGUGUGCCCGAGAACCAAGGACUACUUUGAUAGAGUACCACACAGAGGGCCCCCCUCUCACUUCCU